This 21-nucleotide unclassified non-coding RNA is filed under the name Chlamydomonas reinhardtii. RNAcentral's name for it is "small RNA Cre_0362". Lineage: Eukaryota; Viridiplantae; Chlorophyta; Chlorophyceae; Chlamydomonadales; Chlamydomonadaceae. The record is from RNAcentral.
ACUAGGCUGCUGCCAUUCGCC